UAAAAUUCUACUUUUUGAGACCUUGAUCCACUUAAACCUCAAUAUCCCUCAAUUCAACCGUUAGAUCAAGCUCAAAUUUACGAUACAUAUUAAAAACAACUAAAACCAUAAAUACACAAAAUUUCACCUGUAGAUCUAUUACAAAACUCUUAAAAUCACCCAAAACGUAGACCCUAUUUUAUUUCAUAAAAUCCAAGUCAUCCGAAACAAACCUCGACUUUGCAAAGCUCUUACAAAGUCAUAUCAACUCCAAAUCACCCAAAAUUAACACCCAUAGAAACCCUAUCCAAUAUUCUAUCAAACCCCAC
This 308-nucleotide long non-coding RNA is filed under the name Physcomitrium patens. RNAcentral's name for it is "long non-coding RNA (PPAT_LNC007849)". The record is from RNAcentral. Lineage: Eukaryota; Viridiplantae; Streptophyta; Bryopsida; Funariales; Funariaceae.